RNAcentral lists this ribosomal RNA (497 nucleotides) under uncultured bacterium. Its description in RNAcentral is "partial 16S ribosomal RNA". It matches the Rfam family "Bacterial small subunit ribosomal RNA", at positions 28 to 507 of the family's 1533-position model. The record is from RNAcentral.
GAUGAACGCUGGCGGCGUGCCUAAUACAUGCAAGUCGAGCGAACGGACGAGAAGCUUGCUUUUCUGAUGUUAGCGGCGGACGGGUGAGUAACACGUGGAUAACCUACCUAUAAGACUGGGAUAACUUCGGGAAACCGGAGCUAAUACCGGAUAAUAUUUUGAACCGCAUGGUUCAAAAGUGAAAGACGGUCUUGCUGUCACUUAUAGAUGGAUCCGCGCUGCAUUAGCUAGUUGGUAAGGUAACGGCUUACCAAGGCAACGAUGCAUAGCCGACCUGAGAGGGUGAUCGGCCACACGGGAACUGAGACACGGUCCAGACUCCUACGGGAGGCAGCAGUAGGGAAUCUUCCGCAAUGGGCGAAAGCCUGACGGAGCAACGCCGCGUGAGUGAUGAAGGUCUUCGGAUCGUAAAACUCUGUUAUUAGGGAAGAACACAUGUGUAAGUAACUGUGCACAUCUUGACGGUACCUAAUCAGAAAGCCACGGCUAACUACGUG